RNAcentral lists this ribosomal RNA (425 nucleotides) under uncultured bacterium. Its description in RNAcentral is "bacterial SSU rRNA". It matches the Rfam family "Bacterial small subunit ribosomal RNA", at positions 29 to 499 of the family's 1533-position model. The record is from RNAcentral.
GCGAACGCUGCGGCAGGCUUAACACAUGCAAGUCGAGCGGGCGUAGCAAUACGUCAGCGGCAGACGGGAGAGUAACACGUGGGAACGCGCCCUUCGGUUCGGAAUAACUCAGGGAAACUUGAGCUAAUACCGGAUACGCCCUAACGGGGAAAGAUUUAUCGCCGAAGGAACGGCCCGCGUCGGAUUAGCUAGUUGGUGAGGUAAUGGCUCACCAAGGCGACGAUCCGUAGCUGGUCUGAGAGGAUGACCAGCCUUACUGGGACUGAGACACGGCCCAGACUCCUACGGGAGGCAGCAGUGGGGAAUAUUGGACAAUGGGCGCAAGCCUGAUCCAGCCAUGCCGCGUGGAUGAUGAAGGCCUUAGGGUUGUAAAGUCCUUUUAACGGGGAAGAUAAUGACGGUACCCGUAGAAUAAGCCCCGGCAA